This 143-nucleotide long non-coding RNA is filed under the name Cricetulus griseus (Chinese hamster). RNAcentral describes it as "lncRNA (ENSCGRG00000025451.1)". The record is from RNAcentral. Lineage: Eukaryota; Metazoa; Chordata; Mammalia; Rodentia; Cricetidae.
CUAUACCAUUCUGCAGCCAUCCCAAAUGAUAUUUCUGAAAAAUGGUCCUUCCACCAGUUAAUGGAGACAGAACAGUUGCUGUGAAGAAGAAUCUUGAGCUGCCUGCCUAUGAGUCGGCCUGAGGAUGUUCAGGAGGUUCCAGC